UUCCGGUUGAUCCUGCCAGACCUGACUGCUAUCGGAUUGAUACUAAGCCAUGCGAGUCUUUGUAGUAAUACAAGGCAGACGGCUCAGUAACACGUAGUCAACCUACCCUAUGGACGAGAAUAAUCUCGGGAAACUGAGCAUAAUUCUCGAUAGAUCAUAAUGCCUGGAAUGGUUUAUGGUUAAAAUGAUUCGUCGCCAUAGGAUGGGACUGCGGCCUAUCAGCUUGUUGGUGAGGUAAUGGCCCACCAAGGCGAUUACAGGUACGGGCUCUGAGAGGAGAAGCCCGGAGAUGGGUACUGAGACACGGACCCAGGCCCUAUGGGGCGCAGCAGGCGAGAAAACUUUGCAAUGUGCGAAAGCACGACAAGGUUAAUCCGAGUGAUUUCUGCUAAAGAAAUCUUUUGCCAGUCAUAAAACCACUGGUGAAUAAGGGGUGGGCAAGUUCUGGUGUCAGCCGCCGCGGUAAAACCAGCACCUCAAGUGGUCAGGAUGAUUAUUGGGCCUAAAGCAUCCGUAGCCGGCUUUGUUAGUUUUCGGUUAAAUCCAUGUGCUCAACACAUGGGCUGCCGAAAAUACUGCAUGGCUAGGGAGUGGGAGAGGUAGACGGUACUCAGUAGGAAGGGGUAAAAUCCUUUGAUCUAUUGAUGACCACCUGUGGCGAAGGCGGUCUACCAGAACACGUUCGACGGUGAGGGAUGAAAGCUGGGGGAGCAAACCGGAUUAGAUACCCGGGUAGUCCCAGCUGUAAACGAUGCAGACUCGAUGAUGCAUUGGCAUAAUAGCCAAUGCAGUGUCGCAGGGAAGCCGUUAAGUCUGCCGCCUGGGAAGUACGUACGCAAGUAUGAAACUUAAAGGAAUUGGCGGGGGAGCACCACAAGGGGUGAAGCCUGCGGUUCAAUUGG
RNAcentral lists this ribosomal RNA (902 nucleotides) under uncultured archaeon. Its description in RNAcentral is "bacterial SSU rRNA". It matches the Rfam family "Archaeal small subunit ribosomal RNA", at positions 1 to 909 of the family's 1478-position model. The record is from RNAcentral.